Molecule: ribosomal RNA, 305 nt
Filed under: uncultured bacterium
Lineage: Bacteria
Description: bacterial SSU rRNA
Rfam family: Bacterial small subunit ribosomal RNA
Source: RNAcentral
CCCUACGGGGGGCAGCAGUGAGGAAUAUUGGUCAAUGGGCGGGAGCCUGAACCAGCCAAGUCGCGUGAGGGAAGACGGUCCUAUGGAUUGUAAACCUCUUUUGUCGGGGAGCAAAGAGGCCACGUGUGGUCAAAAGCGAGAGUACCCGAAGAAAAAGCAUCGGCUAACUCCGUGCCAGCAGCCGCGGUAAUACGGAGGAUGCGAGCGUUAUCCGGAUUUAUUGGGUUUAAAGGGUGCGUAGGCGGAAUGCCAAGUCAGCGGUAAAAUCGCGGGGCUCAACCUCGCUCCGCCGUUGAAACUGGCGU